UAGUGCGUCUCUAUCCGUGCGAGUCGACGGCAGCACAGGAGAGCUUGCUCUCUGAGUGCCGAGUGGCGGACGGGUGAGGAUACAUCGGAAUCUACCUUUUCGUGGGGGAUAACGUAGGGAAACUUACGCUAAUACCGCAUACGACCUUCGGGACAAAGCAGGGGACCUUCGGGCCUUGUCCGGAUAGAUGAGCCGAUGUCGGAUUAGCUAGUUGGGGGGAAAAAGCCCCACCGGGGCGACGAUCCGUAGCUGGUCUGAGAGGAUGAUCCCCCCCUCUGGACCUGACCCAUUAUUCUAAAAUAAA
RNAcentral lists this ribosomal RNA (304 nucleotides) under Stenotrophomonas sp. PnB 6. Its description in RNAcentral is "partial 16S ribosomal RNA". It matches the Rfam family "Bacterial small subunit ribosomal RNA", at positions 50 to 341 of the family's 1533-position model. Lineage: Bacteria; Pseudomonadati; Pseudomonadota; Gammaproteobacteria; Lysobacterales; Lysobacteraceae. The record is from RNAcentral.